GUACCGACGACUUUUCGUCACGUAGACGUAGACCUCGCGGUACCGCUGCAAGAUCGGCAACCAAGGCUAAUUUGCUUGUAACUACAAGUUGACAGGUUGUCAAACUCUUCUGUGAACCAUGCCUUGCUUUGAGCUUUCAACAAACGUUCCAAGGGAAAAAGUUACCUCUGACUUCAUUUUGUCCCUCAGCAAAGAAAUUGCUGCAUGCCUUGGAAAACCUGAGCAGUAUGUGGCAGUUCGCAUACUCCCAGAUCAGUUAAUGUCCUUUGGAGGCACACUUGAGCCUUGUGGAACAGGCCAGCUUUUAAGUAUUGGGAAGCUUGGUGUAGAAGAAAACAAGGUAAUCAGUGCCAAGAUUUUUGCUGAGGUGGAGAAGACCUUGGGUAUUCCUAAUGACAGUUAUUGGAUGCAAUGGAAUAAGCUUCCUUGAGAAUUUGGCUGUUAGUCAUGUAUUAAUUGGCCUUGAGUAUCUUCAAAUGGAAGAAACAGCACUUUUUUUGCAGAUGUACAUCACAUUUGUGGAUGCAGCUUCUUCCAAUAUUGGCUACAAAGGAACAACAUUCCAUCAGAUCUUUAAGCGCUGAUAUGUUUAAUGGUUAGCCUUGAAAUUCACAAAAGUAUUAAAAUUCUUGUUUACAAGUUUAGUUUCCAUUGAGUUUUGAUUGUUUUUACCAUGAUGUUUACAUAUUAGAAUGGAAAAAAUCCAGUUUAUGUUCCUGAAAGGUAUUGUUACAGAUAUAUGAAGUAAAUCAAAUUUAA
RNA transcript from Macrobrachium nipponense, 759 nucleotides. It is a transcript of the gene named macrophage migration inhibitory factor homolog, with no coding region annotated. Lineage: Eukaryota; Metazoa; Arthropoda; Malacostraca; Decapoda; Palaemonidae. The record is from RefSeq and is a predicted model, not a curated record. The transcript has 5 exons.